RNAcentral lists this ribosomal RNA (495 nucleotides) under Cercopithecus albogularis erythrarchus. RNAcentral describes it as "partial 16S ribosomal RNA". It matches the Rfam family "Bacterial large subunit ribosomal RNA", at positions 1853 to 2571 of the family's 2925-position model. The record is from RNAcentral. Lineage: Eukaryota; Metazoa; Chordata; Mammalia; Primates; Cercopithecidae.
CACUGCCUGCCCAGUGACACACGUUCAACGGCCGCGGUACCCUGACCGUGCAAAGGUAGCAUAAUCACUUGUUCUUUAAAUAAGGACUCGUAUGAAUGGCACCACGAGGGUUUAACUGUCUCUUGCUUUUAACCAGUGAAAUUGACCUGUCCGUGAAGAGACGGACAUAAAGCAAUAAGACGAGAAGACCCUGUGGAGCUUCAAUUUAUUAGUACAACUAAAAACCACACAAACCAACAGGCCCCUAAACUCCUAUAUCUGUACUAAAAAUUUCGGUUGGGGUGACCUCGGAGUACAACUAAACCUCCGAAUAAUCCAUGCCAAGACCACACAAGUCAAAGCGAACACACUUACAAUUGAUCCAAUAAUUUGAUCAGCGGAACAAGUUACCCCAGGGAUAACAGCGCAAUUCUAUUCUAGAGUCCAUAUCGACAAUAGAGUUUACGACCUCGAUGUUGGAUCAGGAUAUCCUAAUGGUGCAGCAGCUAUCAAGGG